AGACAUGCGUAGUGCUCCCCUUGGUCCAGCGCGGGAAGCUCCCUCGUGAGUGUCCGAAACUAUUAGCUCACUCACUGCCUCAUGUGAAGAUUAACUCUUAAGUACUCCACAACUACACGCUUUUGAAACUGGCGUUGGCAUAGCGUUAGUUCUGUGCAGGGCGGACGCAGCAGGACAGAAUCUCCCUGGGCAUCUUUUCGGAGCAUCAAUUUUACUGCAAAAUUUUGAAAAAACAAAUUUAAUUGAUUUCCAAGGAGCUUCUGUCACUGCAGAACCAGGGUCACCUGUGGAAAAUCCUUGCUGAAGCCAUCUCCCUGUCUGCCUGUCCCUCAGGCCCAGGAGUCAUGAGUCCUUUCUCCAAUAAGUCAUUCAGUUGGCUGGCAGCAAACCCUGGUUUGUCAAGGAGGACAGAAACUCAGAGCACCCUGCACUUGGGGAUCGGCACUAGGAGCUGCUCUCUGGAUGGGGAGAUGGGAGCUAGCAGCUCACAAUGGGGUCACAAGAUGCAUGGUGAAUAUUUGAUGUUUUAGAACAAAAAUGUAUUUACAAAUCUCAUUUGAUGCAGACAUCUGAAAAUACUCAGAAGUUACAAGAAUUCAUAAAAUACCCACCAAAGCUAAUAGAAAACAUGGAACCUUCCAGGACAAGAAGUAAAUUAAAAGAACAACCCAGAGGAGUAAUCAAAGUGAGAAGCCAGUGCCGCCUCCAGGUACUGGAUGAUCACAGGGACCUCAGGCUUUGGGGAUUAUUCAACUACCUUCUUGGAAUAAACAACAAAAAAAGUAC
RNAcentral lists this long non-coding RNA (786 nucleotides) under Homo sapiens (human). RNAcentral describes it as "uncharacterized LOC101929050, transcript variant 15 (LOC101929050)". Lineage: Eukaryota; Metazoa; Chordata; Mammalia; Primates; Hominidae. The record is from RNAcentral.